CCUUAAAAGGCCCCAGUGCGUGUUGUUCUCCUCUAUUUGUUUAUGUGUUCUCAUCAUUUAGCUCCCACUUAUAUGUGAGAACAUGUAUUUGGUUUUCUGAUCCUGCCUGCCUUC
Molecule: long non-coding RNA, 114 nt
Organism: Sapajus apella (tufted capuchin)
Lineage: Eukaryota; Metazoa; Chordata; Mammalia; Primates; Cebidae
Exons: 3
Source: RefSeq, a predicted model, not a curated record